Molecule: ribosomal RNA, 253 nt
Filed under: uncultured bacterium
Lineage: Bacteria
Description: partial 16S ribosomal RNA
Rfam family: Bacterial small subunit ribosomal RNA
Source: RNAcentral
UACGUAUGGUGCAAGCGUUAUCCGGAUUUACUGGGUGUAAAGGGAGCGUAGACGGCAUAGCAAGUCUGAAGUGAAAGCCCGUGGCUCAACCGCGGAACUGCUUUGGAAACUGUUAAGCUGGAGUACUGGAGAGGCAAGCGGAAUUCCUAGUGUAGCGGUGAAAUGCGUAGAUAUUAGGAGGAACACCAGUGGCGAAGGCGGCUUGCUGGACAGAGACUGACGUUGAGGCUCGAAAGCGUGGGGAGCAAACAGG